RNAcentral lists this ribosomal RNA (466 nucleotides) under uncultured bacterium. RNAcentral describes it as "partial 16S ribosomal RNA". It matches the Rfam family "Bacterial small subunit ribosomal RNA", at positions 28 to 507 of the family's 1533-position model. The record is from RNAcentral.
GACGAACGCUGGCGGUGUGCCUAACACAUGCAAGUCGAACGGUAAGGCCCUUUCGGGGGUACACGAGUGGCGAACGGGUGAGUAACACGUGAGUAACCUGCCCUCAUCUCUGGGAUAACAGUCGGAAACGGUUGCUAAUACUGGAUAUGAGCUUGCAAGGCAUCUUGUGGGUUGGAAAGAUUUUUUUGGUUGGGGAUGGACUCGCGGCCUAUCAGCUUGUUGGUGAGGUAGUGGCUCACCAAGGCUUCGACGGGUAGCCGGCCUGAGAGGGCGACCGGCCACAUUGGGACUGAGAUACGGCCCAAACUCCUACGGGAGGCAGCAGUGGGGAAUAUUGCACAAUGGACGGAAGUCUGAUGCAGCAACGCCGCGUGCGGGAUGACGGCCUUCGGGUUGUAAACCGCUUUCAAUUGUGACGAAGCUUUUUGUGACGGUAGCAGUAGAAGAAGCACCGGCUAACUACGUG